UCUCCGUUGGUGAACCAGCGGAGGGAUCAUUACCGAGUUUACAACUCCCAAACCCCUGUGAACAUACCUAUCGUUGCUUCGGCGGACCACCCCGACCCCUACGGGGCGAGGGGCCCGCCAGAGGACACCCAAAAUUCAAAUGCAUUUUGCCUUGUAAUUUUAUUCUGAGUGGAAUUUUUAAAUAAAUCAAAACUUUCAACAACGGAUCUCUUGGCUCUG
RNAcentral lists this unclassified non-coding RNA (219 nucleotides) under soil metagenome. Its description in RNAcentral is "partial contains small subunit ribosomal RNA, internal transcribed spacer 1, and 5.8S ribosomal RNA". The record is from RNAcentral.